Molecule: ribosomal RNA, 253 nt
Filed under: uncultured bacterium
Lineage: Bacteria
Description: partial 16S ribosomal RNA
Rfam family: Bacterial small subunit ribosomal RNA
Source: RNAcentral
UACGUAGGGUGCGAGCGUUGUCCGGAAUUAUUGGGCGUAAAGGGCUCGUAGGCGGUUUGUCGCGUCGGGAGUGAAAACCUUGGGCUUAACUCAGGGCUUGCUUUCGAUACGGGCAGACUAGAGGUAUGCAGGGGAGAACGGAAUUCCUGGUGUAGCGGUGAAAUGUGCAGAUAUCAGGAGGAACACCGGUGGCGAAGGCGGUUCUCUGGGCAUGAUCUGACGCUGAGGAGCGAAAGUGUGGGGAGCGAACAGG